Molecule: non-coding RNA, 111 nt
Organism: Acanthosepion pharaonis
Lineage: Eukaryota; Metazoa; Mollusca; Cephalopoda; Sepiida; Sepiidae
Source: the annotation of a GenBank genome assembly
UGGACAUAUCACAUUGAAACACCGGUUCUCAUAUGAUCACUGAAGUUAAGCAAUGUCAAGCUUGGUCAGUACUUAGAUGGGUGACUGCUUAGGAUUAUCAGCUGCUGUAAG